This 497-nucleotide ribosomal RNA is filed under the name uncultured bacterium. RNAcentral's name for it is "partial 16S ribosomal RNA". It matches the Rfam family "Bacterial small subunit ribosomal RNA", at positions 28 to 507 of the family's 1533-position model. The record is from RNAcentral.
GAUGAACGCUGGCGGCGUGCCUAAUACAUGCAAGUCGAGCGAACGGACGAGAAGCUUGCUUUUCUGAUGUUAGCGGCGGACGGGUGAGUAACACGUGGAUAACCUACCUAUAAGACUGGGAUAACUUCGGGAAACCGGAGCUAAUACCGGAUAAUAUUUUGAACCGCAUGGUUCAAAAGUGAAAGACGGUCUUGCUGUCACUUAUAGAUGGGUCCGCGCUGCAUUAGCUAGUUGGUAAGGUAACGGCUUACCAAGGCAACGAUGCAUAGCCGACCUGAGAGGGUGAUCGGCCACACUGGAACUGAGACACGGUCCAGACUCCUACGGGAGGCAGCAGUAGGGAAUCUUCCGCAAUGGGCGAAAGCCUGACGGAGCAACGCCGCGUGAGUGAUGAAGGUCUUCGGACCGUAAAACUCUGUUAUUAGGGAAGAACAUAUGUGUAAGUAACUGUGCACAUCUUGACGGUACCUAAUCAGAAAGCCACGGCUAACUACGUG